UACGGAGGGAGCUAGCGUUGUUCGGAAUUACUGGGCGUAAAGCGCACGUAGGCGGCUCUGUAAGUUAGAGGUGAAAGCCCGGGGCUCAACUCCGGAACUGCCUUUAAGACUGCAUCGCUUGAAUCCGGGAGAGGUGAGUGGAAUUCCGAGUGUAGAGGUGAAAUUCGUAGAUAUUCGGAAGAACACCAGUGGCGAAGGCGGCUCACUGGACCGGUAUUGACGCUGAGGCGCGAAAGCGUGGGGAGCAAACAGG
This 253-nucleotide ribosomal RNA is filed under the name uncultured bacterium. RNAcentral's name for it is "partial 16S ribosomal RNA". It matches the Rfam family "Bacterial small subunit ribosomal RNA", at positions 524 to 776 of the family's 1533-position model. The record is from RNAcentral.